RNAcentral lists this ribosomal RNA (1380 nucleotides) under Microbacterium arborescens. RNAcentral describes it as "bacterial SSU rRNA". It matches the Rfam family "Bacterial small subunit ribosomal RNA". The record is from RNAcentral. Lineage: Bacteria; Bacillati; Actinomycetota; Actinomycetes; Micrococcales; Microbacteriaceae.
AGUCGAACGGUGAAGCAGAGCUUGCUCUGUGGAUCAGUGGCGAACGGGUGAGUAACACGUGAGCAAUCUGCCCCUGACUCUGGGAUAAGCGCUGGAAACGGCGUCUAAUACCGGAUACGAGCUGCGACCGCAUGGUCAGUAGCUGGAAAGAAUUUCGGUCAGGGAUGAGCUCGCGGCCUAUCAGCUUGUUGGUGAGGUAAUGGCUCACCAAGGCGUCGACGGGUAGCCGGCCUGAGAGGGUGACCGGCCACACUGGGACUGAGACACGGCCCAGACUCCUACGGGAGGCAGCAGUGGGGAAUAUUGCACAAUGGGCGCAAGCCUGAUGCAGCAACGCCGCGUGAGGGAUGACGGCCUUCGGGUUGUAAACCUCUUUUAGCAGGGAAGAAGCGAAAGUGACGGUACCUGCAGAAAAAGCGCCGGCUAACUACGUGCCAGCAGCCGCGGUAAUACGUAGGGCGCAAGCGUUAUCCGGAAUUAUCGGGCGUAAAGAGCUCGUAGGCGGUCUGUCGCGUCUGCUGUGAAAACCCGAGGCUCAACCUCGGGCCUGCAGUGGGUACGGGCAGACUAGAGUGCGGUAGGGGAGAUUGGAAUUCCUGGUGUAGCGGUGGAAUGCGCAGAUAUCAGGAGGAACACCGAUGGCGAAGGCAGAUCUCUGGGCCGUAACUGACGCUGAGGAGCGAAAGGGUGGGGAGCAAACAGGCUUAGAUACCCUGGUAGUCCACCCCGUAAACGUUGGGAACUAGUUGUGGGGUCCAUUCCACGGAUUCCGUGACGCAGCUAACGCAUUAAGUUCCCCGCCUGGGGAGUACGGCCGCAAGGCUAAAACUCAAAGGAAUUGACGGGGACCCGCACAAGCGGCGGAGCAUGCGGAUUAAUUCGAUGCAACGCGAAGAACCUUACCAAGGCUUGACAUAUAGAGGAAACGUCUGGAAACAGUCGCCCCGCAAGGUCUCUAUACAGGUGGUGCAUGGUUGUCGUCAGCUCGUGUCGUGAGAUGUUGGGUUAAGUCCCGCAACGAGCGCAACCCUCGUUCUAUGUUGCCAGCACGUAAUGGUGGGAACUCAUGGGAUACUGCCGGGGUCAACUCGGAGGAAGGUGGGGAUGACGUCAAAUCAUCAUGCCCCUUAUGUCUUGGGCUUCACGCAUGCUACAAUGGCCGGUACAAAGGGCUGCAAUACCGUGAGGUGGAGCGAAUCCCAAAAAGCCGGUCCCAGUUCGGAUUGAGGUCUGCAACUCGACCUCAUGAAGUCGGAGUCGCUAGUAAUCGCAGAUCAGCAACGCUGCGGUGAAUACGUUCCCGGGUCUUGUACACACCGCCCGUCAAGUCAUGAAAGUCGGUAACACCUGAAGCCGGUGGCCCAACCCUUGUGGAGGGAG